CUAGAUGGCCUCUAAAGGUCCCUUCCAACCCAAACCAUUCUAUGACUCUGUAUUUGAAACCAACUGUCUAAAAGCUGUCUUACUAUCUGUGUUACAGGUGAAAAGGUGCUCAGGAAGGGCAUAGUUGCCAAUGGGAAAUAAAUGGCCUCUUUGUCCAUGAUGGAGAGGAAGGUCAUCUAGCUAGACAGUAACUCCAGGGAAAGCUUUGGCUCCUCCCAUUUGGAAAAAGGAGACAUUUUGGCAGACAGUGCUUCUGACAAUGCAGAGCAUACAUUGCUCACAAAAGUACUCGGAUCCCUUCCUCUGCAACUGCAUGAGGUCCCUAUGCUAACUGCAGCAACUGCUUAUAAAACAAACUAUUAAAAUUCAAACCUCUUCCUCACACACUGCGCGUCAACCUGCUCCUCUCCCCCAUGAGCCCCCCAGGGCAAUGCUCUCCUACAGAUUAUCCAAACAUUUGAGCUACGAGGGUGAUGUGGAAAUCAUAUAUUCUAUAAGGAUUUUCCCCUUAAAGGCAAGCUCACAGCGUAAAAGGUCUUCCAGGCUCUGCGGAGGGCUGGCAGGAGUUUCUGAGUGACAGCCAAAAAUAUGUUCUUGCAGCAGUGUUUCCACAUUGAUGGCACUACAACAGAGGCAGCUCCGCUAGAGAUGGAGCAGGCAAACCCACGCUUUGGCAGGAUGGGGAGAUCUGCCUGCCUAGACGUAAGGGUAGCUGUCAGCUUUGCCGUUUUAUUUGUCUUCACCUAAGGCAGUGGUAGGAAUUAUGUUCAUACGGCAAAUAAAAAUAGUCCUAGUAAAAAUAUCCUAGGUCUUUAUCCUCUCACUUUUAUCUUACCCAAGAGUUAUCUGCAUCGCUUUGGAAAGCUGAUACUCCCUGAACACCGUACGAGCCCUGCAUAGUGUUGGGUGCUGGAAAGGCGACUAAUUACUGAUUAGUUACAAGUGCUGCAGAGAGGCGAGGAGGAGAGAAACCCCCUGAAGUUUUCACUGUUUCGGUCUCACUUUAGCUGCCAUGGAUUUAGCACCCUUUUCAGCUGGGGCCAAGAAGAGGUUUCAAAUGACUCGUGCAAAUGGACUAAAGUUUCAGGGCAGCUCAUGCCCGGGAGGACAUUCUCUUCUACCUAGCUAAUUCCCGAAAUAUAAUCGGCAGGCCCCGGCUGAGCCGAGGGAGCCUCUCGCGUGUACGGUGCUUUACCCUGCCGGUUGACCUAGUUGUUAAGGCAGGGAGUCACGCACAAUGCCAAGCCUGUUAAGUGACUGCAGAUUUCUUCGCUCAAACAAGCAAACAAGAAAUUAAAGAAAAGCUUCAGCCGUGUUGAUAAGCUUGUAGGGGCACACAGGGCUUGUUUGUUUGGUUUGGGGUUUGGUUUGGCCUUUCGUUGAACCUGGUGAGGAUGGAAAGCUGCAGUAAGCUUUAGUGCAGCACAGGAGGCCGGAGGAGGCAGACCCACAGCUCCCAGCCAUGCGGGGCUUUGCGAGAGCCUACACAGCAUCGAUCCUGCUCUGUUUGCCAUGUCCUCCGAUGCCCUGGAAGUGUUUGCUCUGCCGUGCUGGUGUCUUAGUCAGAGAGGUAAAAGGAAAGACGGAAACUGUCUGUGUUAUAGCACACCCUGGUCAAAGGCGGCACAAGGUUUCUGCAAGAUGAGCAGCGUCAGUGGCAUUCCCAUGCCUGCCUAGCUGUGAUCUCCAUAUCACUGGACAUUAGAGACACUUUGAAGAACAUUACAGGGACCCGAAUUUCAGAGGAAAAGUGCAUAGCAGUUUGUGAUCAGUUCCCCUGUAAGGACUACAUCGUCCUUAAAUGAUCAGCUAUGAACUCACAAGUCGUGGUCUAAAUCCUUUUCCUAAUUGUCCUAUGCUUGCAAAUACAGCUUGUAUUAGCCAUCUGUGUUUUAGGACUAUGCCAUGUAAGUGGUUUGGGGUGGCAUUUAAAAAUAAUUCCAGUAAUAUUCAGAAAAUUCUUUUCAGCAAUAAAACUUUCUUUUCAGUGUCCAUGAUGCGUAGGAGCUUGUGGUAAUUUAUGGUGAUGCUGGAGAAGCGAGGCUUGCUCCUGGAGGAAGCCCUUGUUUGUAGCCUGUAACAUGGAUAUGCACAAACUGGUUUUAUGUUCUGUUUUAAAAGACUAUUUGUGAGCACUUUAAGAACUGAGGACAGGAUUUACGAUGCACGGAGUGAGAAGACUGUUCUUUGCUCAGCAGUGCUACUGCCCAAAGAGCCAGACACUUCACUGGGUCAUUUGCUGCCCUGACCUUUUUUCAGAAUAUUUUCUUAUUUGAAAUAUAUCUUCAGGCAGAGGGAAGUGGCCCCAUCAUUUUAUUUUAUUAAAAAGAAGCCCCGUGAAUAUCCCUUCUCAGUUUGGCCAUACCUGUGAGGUGAGUGCUGUGUAUACCCCAUGGGACUGGGUAGAGGACUGCAACGUAUGGAUUGGCAGUGGUGCUUUACAUGUAUAACUGCGAUAAGCCAGAGGCAAAUAGAGCUGAUCUGCAUACAAAAUAUUCUCUUAAUGAAAAGGCAGAUGAAGGAAUACAGGUCUUGCUCUGUUACAGCUACAGCUUUCAAGAUACUAAAGAUCACAGGCUCUUUGCACAACAUUUUUUAUGAGAAAUGAAUGCUCUAGAAACCAUUCUUCAUCAUAAAAGAUGCCAGCAUGGAUGGAACUGUGGAAUGAAUCUCCGUGUCACCAGCAAUACAAAGGACCGACACAGAACUGCUUUUUAUUUAUGAUAUAUUACACUGCAUAAACGCUAAUGGGCCAUGGGUGCUGGAGCCAAACCGUCUGGACCGGAUCCAACGACUGCAGGUGUUACCAUGGUAGUGCCUCCACCAGCUUCGAAGCAAAGUCUUCUACUUGAGCAGCUCCACCGUGCUGGCUCAUGUUCAGAGCCUGAGGCCUCGAGUCAGUCCCACAGACCUGCUUUUCCUACGCAACUAAUUAUUAUCUUCCCAUGCCCUUGCAUCACAACUGCACAACCACAACAAAGGUUUGUGCUCUCCAUGGCAGUGCUGUCAACAAAAGGUCUCCUUGCAUGGCUUUUGGGUCAUAUUCUCAGAGAUCUGUAUUCGAACAAGGUCCCCAGGGGAGUGGUCAUGACCCCAAGCCUGUCAAGAAGCGUUUAGACAAUGCUCAUAGGUAUAUGGUUUAACUUUUUGGUUGCCCUGUGUGGAGUCAGGAGUUGGACUCAGUGAUCCUCAUGGGUCCCACCCAAUUCAGAAUAUUGGGUGAUUCUACGAUUCGAGUGUUUUCUACUUUUCCCACUUCCCAAUAUGUGACUACAAGAAUAUUAGUGCAGCAGUUUGGUGAAAACUUUAAGAUCACUGGGUGCAUGAAAUAA
Egretta garzetta (little egret) is the source of this 3332-nucleotide long non-coding RNA. RefSeq lists it as uncharacterized. Lineage: Eukaryota; Metazoa; Chordata; Aves; Pelecaniformes; Ardeidae. The record is from RefSeq and is a predicted model, not a curated record. The transcript has 3 exons.